Molecule: long non-coding RNA, 614 nt
Organism: Lycium ferocissimum
Lineage: Eukaryota; Viridiplantae; Streptophyta; Magnoliopsida; Solanales; Solanaceae
Exons: 2
Source: RefSeq, a predicted model, not a curated record
AAGGUAUGCAACCAUCAAAAUUUCUUAAUAAGAUGGUUUAUGAUAUUAGAGAAUGAAUCAAUUACUCAACUAUUCUCAAUUAAAUCAUAUUAGACUAUUCUUUUACGAACGGUCAACCUAUCAUAACCCUCAGCCGGCUCCAGCAGUUCACCAAGCAUCACAGCUAUCUCGAUCAGUUCACUCGACAUCAAAUUUGGCUUCGACAGAUCAGGACUCACCACAACCAUCUCUGUCAGUUCACUCGACAUCACAUUUGGCUUCGACAGAUCAGGACUCAACACAGCCGACUCCGAUAGUUCAGGCCGCAUCCAAAAAGUGUUCUAGGUCGCAUUGGAUUGUAGACGCAAUAGUGAUGCGGCUAGUGGAUUCAUUUUUUUUCAAAUGGAUGCAAGAAGAUCAUACGGUGAUAGUAAUCCUAGUGACAACCGUUGAUUUCAUUGUAUUGUUUGGUAGGAACGGAUGUUAGAGCAGUCUAUAGUGAAUGUAUUGUGUUUAAAUUUAGUUUUUGAGUGAUCUGAUAAUGCUACUUAAAUUUUUAGUUUAAAAAACUAAUGGUACUUUAUGAUAACAUUUGUGAUUUUACGAUAUGUUAUUGAUAUCUCUUAAAGUUUUAA